Molecule: long non-coding RNA, 655 nt
Organism: Episyrphus balteatus (marmalade hoverfly)
Lineage: Eukaryota; Metazoa; Arthropoda; Insecta; Diptera; Syrphidae
Exons: 3
Source: RefSeq, a predicted model, not a curated record
AAAAAAAGUAUUUUAAAAUGUUUGUUCGAAAUAAAAUAUCGAGAUGCAAUCGUGGAAUCGUUUUGGAUGGAAGGACGUCAAAAUGCCCUCGCCCGAACAGCCAAAAAGUUUUUGUGGUGUGGAGCCUGGAGCGAAAAUCGGAGCUAAUCAUCAAUUAUCUUGGUUUCGGUGGUUGGCGAUGGUUGUGUUAUUCCACAGAAGUCGAAUAUAGAGAAAGUUCUUGUUAAAAAAGCUCAUGGGGAAAAUGAUGAAACAGAAAAAAUCGGAGUCAAAGCUUACAUCCUCAACAACGACACAGAAGCUAGCUCUUCGCAUCCGAUUCAGAAGAUGAAUUACCAACGCAAUCGACAAAAACAGAAAUUCCAAAAAUGAUGAGACUAUCACAUCUAAUCAAUGCGGACGAAAGCGAUUACAAUUCAACAACCAGUGACGAAGAUGAUGAUUCACACCAAGGCUCUCCAAUACCUGAUGAUGCAAAUAGUAAUCACCUUGUACCAAUAGAAACUAUAUUCCUGCUAAUCAUAGCGUGGCUCCUUUCUUGCAUGCACCUCAUCUACAGUAUUUUUAUCCGAAGUCUUGGACUCUUUGGUUCGUGGAAUUCAACUCAAAUCCAAUCCGGAUUUCUUGAUUCUUGAAAUCAACUCAUCUCGCUAUG